RNAcentral lists this ribosomal RNA (275 nucleotides) under uncultured bacterium. RNAcentral describes it as "partial 16S ribosomal RNA". It matches the Rfam family "Bacterial small subunit ribosomal RNA", at positions 338 to 608 of the family's 1533-position model. The record is from RNAcentral.
CCUACGGGCGGCUGCAGUCGAGAAUCUUCGGCAAUGGGCGAAAGCCUGACCGAGCGACGCCGCGUGCGGGAUGAAGGCCUUCGGGUUGUAAACCGCUGUCGUAGUGGAGGAAAUAUCAGGGGGUUCUCCCCUUGGUUUGACUGAUACUAGGAGGAAGGGUGGGCUAAGCUCGUGCCAGCAGCCGCGGUAAGACGAGCCACCCAAACGUUAUUCGGAAUCACUGGGCUUAAAGCGUGCGUAGGCGGCCUGCAAAGUUGGGUGUGAAAUCCCUUGGC